This 292-nucleotide ribosomal RNA is filed under the name uncultured bacterium. Its description in RNAcentral is "partial 16S ribosomal RNA". It matches the Rfam family "Bacterial small subunit ribosomal RNA", at positions 505 to 796 of the family's 1533-position model. The record is from RNAcentral.
GUGACAGCAGCCGCGGUAAUACGGAGGGAGCAAGCGUUACUCGGAAUUACUGGGCGUAAAGGGCGCGUAGGCGAUCUAUUAAGUCUUGUGUGAAAUCCCAGGGCCUAACCCUGGAAUUGCAUGGGAAACUGAUAGGUUAGAGUGCAGGAGAGGAAGGCAGAAUUCCCGGUGUAGCGGUGAAAUGCGUAGAUAUCGGGAGGAAUACCAGUGGCGAAGGCGGCCUUCUGGACUGCAACUGACGCUGAGGCGCGAAAGCCAGGGGAGCAAACGGGAUUAGAUACCCGGGUAGUCC